This 253-nucleotide ribosomal RNA is filed under the name uncultured bacterium. Its description in RNAcentral is "partial 16S ribosomal RNA". It matches the Rfam family "Bacterial small subunit ribosomal RNA", at positions 524 to 776 of the family's 1533-position model. The record is from RNAcentral.
UACGAAGGGGGCUAGCGUUGUUCGGAAUUACUGGGCGUAAAGCGCACGUAGGCGGGUCGUUAAGUCAGGGGUGAAAUCCCAGAGCUCAACUCUGGAACUGCCUUUGAUACUGGCGACCUAGAGUCCGGAAGAGGUUAGUGGAAUUCCCAGUGUAGAGGUGAAAUUCGUAGAUAUUGGGAAGAACACCAGUGGCGAAGGCGGCUAACUGGUCCGGUACUGACGCUGAGGUGCGAAAGCGUGGGGAGCAAAUAGG